This 250-nucleotide ribosomal RNA is filed under the name uncultured bacterium. RNAcentral's name for it is "partial 16S ribosomal RNA". It matches the Rfam family "Bacterial small subunit ribosomal RNA", at positions 524 to 773 of the family's 1533-position model. The record is from RNAcentral.
UACGUAGGGGGCAAGCGUUGUUCGGAAUUACUGGGCGUAAAGGGCGCGUAGGCGGCAUGGCAAGUCGGGAGUGAAAGCCCGGGGCUCAACCCCGGAACUGCUUUCGAAACUGCCAAGCUAGAGUACGGAAGGGGCAACUGGAAUUCCCAGUGUAGCGGUGAAAUGCGUAGAUAUCGGGAGGAACAUCGGUGGCGAAGGCGGCCUUCUGGACGGAUACUGACGCUGAGACGCGAAAGCGUGGGGAGCAAAC